RNAcentral lists this transfer RNA (74 nucleotides) under Cordylochernes scorpioides. Its description in RNAcentral is "tRNA-Thr". The stretch from base 6 to 69 matches the Rfam family "tRNA", at positions 5 to 66 of the family's 71-position model. From Rfam's summary of the family: Transfer RNA (tRNA) molecules are approximately 80 nucleotides in length. Their secondary structure includes four short double-helical elements and three loops (D, anti-codon, and T loops). Further hydrogen bonds mediate the characteristic L-shaped molecular structure. tRNAs have two regions of fundamental functional importance: the anti-codon, which is responsible for specific mRNA codon recognition, and the 3' end, to which the tRNAs corresponding amino acid is attached (by aminoacyl-tRNA synthetases). tRNAs cope with the degeneracy of the genetic code in two manners: having more than one tRNA (with a specific anti-codon) for a particular amino acid; and 'wobble' base-pairing, i.e. permitting non-standard base-pairing at the 3rd anti-codon position. Lineage: Eukaryota; Metazoa; Arthropoda; Arachnida; Pseudoscorpiones; Chernetidae. The record is from RNAcentral.
GUCCAGGGUAGCCUAGUGGUCAUGGCAUCUGCCCGGUAAGCGGAAGGUCGUGGGUUCCAUUCCCAUCCCAUCCC